Salvia miltiorrhiza (redroot sage) is the source of this 159-nucleotide small nuclear RNA. RefSeq annotates it as U1 spliceosomal RNA. NCBI's taxonomy places the organism in Eukaryota, Viridiplantae, Streptophyta, Magnoliopsida, Lamiales, Lamiaceae. The record is from RefSeq and is a predicted model, not a curated record. The transcript has a single exon.
AUACUUACCUGGACGGGGUCGAUGGUUGAUCUAGAAGGCUCAUGGCCUAGGUUUGUAACCUCCAUUGCACUUAGGAGGGUGCUUGCCUAAAGUCGACCCAAGUGGUCGAACUUAUGUCAUAAUUUGUGGUAGAGGGGGUUUGCGUGCGCGCAGCCCCUG